AUACGGAGGGUGCAAGCGUUAAUCGGAAUUACUGGGCGUAAAGCGCGCGUAGGCGGCUAAUUAAGUCAAAUGUGAAAUCCCCGAGCUUAACUUGGGAAUUGCAUUCGAUACUGGUUAGCUCGAGUGUGGGAGAGGAUGGUAGAAUUCCAGGUGUAGCGGUGAAAUGCGUAGAGAUCUGGAGGAAUACCGAUGGUGAAGGCAGCCAUCUGGCCUAACACUGACGCUGAGGUGCGAAAGCAUGGGGAGCAAACAGGAUUAGAAACCCCAGUAGUCC
This 274-nucleotide ribosomal RNA is filed under the name uncultured bacterium. Its description in RNAcentral is "partial 16S ribosomal RNA". It matches the Rfam family "Bacterial small subunit ribosomal RNA", at positions 523 to 796 of the family's 1533-position model. The record is from RNAcentral.